UACAGAGGGGGCAAGCGUUGUCCGGAAUUACUGGGUGUAAAGCGCGUGUAGGCGGUGAGUUAAGUCUGUUGUGAAAGCGCCCGGCUCAACCGGGCAGAGUCAAUGGAAACUAGCGCACUGGAGGUCGGUAGAGGCGAGUGGAAUUCCCGGUGUAGUGGUGAAAUGCGUAGAGAUCGGGAGGAACACUAGUGGCGAAGGCGGCUCGCUGGGCCGGACCUGACGCUGAGACGCGAAGGCGUGGGGAGCGAACGGG
This 253-nucleotide ribosomal RNA is filed under the name uncultured bacterium. RNAcentral's name for it is "partial 16S ribosomal RNA". It matches the Rfam family "Bacterial small subunit ribosomal RNA", at positions 524 to 776 of the family's 1533-position model. The record is from RNAcentral.